This 73-nucleotide transfer RNA is filed under the name Talpa martinorum. Its description in RNAcentral is "tRNA-Asn". Lineage: Eukaryota; Metazoa; Chordata; Mammalia; Eulipotyphla; Talpidae. The record is from RNAcentral.
UAGAUUGAAGCCAGUUGUCUGGGGUAUUUAGCUGUUAACUAAAAUUUCGUGGGAUCAAAGCCCUCCAAUCUAG